AGAGUUUGAUCAUGGCUCAGAACGAACGCUGGCGGCAGGCUUAACACAUGCAAGUCGAACGCGUGUAGCAAUACACGAGUGGCGCACGGGUGAGUAACGCGUGGAUAUCUGCCUUUUGGUUCGGAAUAACCCCGGGAAACUGGGGCUAAUACCGGAUGGUUCCUACGGGAUAAAGAUUUAUCGCCAAAAGAUGAGUCCGCGUACGAUUAGCUAGUUGGUGAGGUAAUGGCUCACCAAGGCGACGAUCGUUAGCUGGUCUGAGAGGACGAUCAGCCACACUGGGACUGAGACACGGCCCAGACUCCUACGGGAGGCAGCAGUGGGGAAUAUUGGACAAUGGGGGCAACCCUGAUCCAGCCAUGCCGCGUGAGUGAUGAAGGCCUUCGGGUUGUAAAGCUCUUUUGGCGGGGACGAUGAUGACGGUACCCGCAGAAUAAGCCCCGGCUAACUUCGUGCCAGCAGCCGCGGUAAGACGAAGGGGGCUAGCGUUGUUCGGAAUUACUGGGCGUAAAGCGAGUGUAGGCGGUUGCCGUAGUCAGGUGUGAAAGCCUUGAGCUCAACUCAAGAAAUGCACUUGAUACUGGGUGACUAGAGGACCGGAGAGGAUAGUGGAAUUCCCAGUGUAGUGGUGAAAUACGUAGAGAUUGGGAAGAACACCAGUGGCGAAGGCGGCUAUCUGGACGGUUACUGACGCUAAGACUCGAAAGCGUGGGGAGCAAACAGGAUUAGAUACCCCGGUAGUCCAA
RNAcentral lists this ribosomal RNA (746 nucleotides) under uncultured bacterium. Its description in RNAcentral is "bacterial SSU rRNA". It matches the Rfam family "Bacterial small subunit ribosomal RNA", at positions 8 to 798 of the family's 1533-position model. The record is from RNAcentral.